This 24-nucleotide microRNA is filed under the name Saccoglossus kowalevskii. RNAcentral describes it as "Sko-Mir-4830-P1_5p (mature (guide))". Lineage: Eukaryota; Metazoa; Hemichordata; Enteropneusta; Harrimaniidae. The record is from RNAcentral.
UCUCUUGAGAGCCAUAUGGAAGGA